Molecule: non-coding RNA, 94 nt
Filed under: bovine gut metagenome
Description: THF riboswitch
Rfam family: THF (Tetrahydrofolate) riboswitch aptamer
About the family: THF riboswitch presents a pseudoknot that joins P1-P2 and the loop of P3 and two THF binding.
Source: RNAcentral
CAGAGUAGGAUAUCGCGCGUUUUAGUGCUGCAGGAUGGGAUGUUGUCUGCAGACGAAACAUGAAAAUGUACGGUGCGUUAUCCGCAUCCGCUGC